AAGCCGGGUUACAAUGCGCAACUAUGCACUAACCUAGAACCUACAAAGGGUGUUGGUCGAUUAAGACAGUAGGACGGUGGUCAUGGAAGUCGAAAUCCGCUAAGGAGUGUGUAAUAACUCACCUGCCGAAUCAACUAGCCCCGAAAAUGUAUGGUGCUUAAGCGAGCGACCUAUACCCAGCCGUUGGGGCAAGAGCCAGGCCCCGAUG
Molecule: non-coding RNA, 208 nt
Filed under: Ricinus communis (castor bean)
Lineage: Eukaryota; Viridiplantae; Streptophyta; Magnoliopsida; Malpighiales; Euphorbiaceae
Description: Eukaryotic large subunit ribosomal RNA
Rfam family: Eukaryotic large subunit ribosomal RNA
Source: Rfam by way of RNAcentral